ACUACUUUGACAGAAAAAUGUGAUAAAUUUAGAAUUUAUUUAUGUAAUGGAUAUUACAAGUGGUA
This 65-nucleotide transfer RNA is filed under the name Tuxedo drakei. Its description in RNAcentral is "tRNA-Leu". Lineage: Eukaryota; Metazoa; Arthropoda; Insecta; Hemiptera; Miridae. The record is from RNAcentral.